CCUACGGGCGGCAGCAGUGAGGAAUAUUGGUCAAUGGGCGCAAGCCUGAACCAGCCAAGUCGCGUGAGGGAUGACGGUCCUAUGGAUUGUAAACCUCUUUUGUCGGGGAGCAAGGCCCGCCACGUGUGGCGGGAAGGAGAGUACCCGAAGAAAAAGCAUCGGCUAACUCCGUACCAGCAGCGGCGGUACUACGUAGGAUGCGACCGUUAUCCGGAUUUACUGGGUGUAAAGGGGGGGCAGACGGCAGCGCAAGCCAGGAGUGAAAGCCCGGGGCCCAACCCCGGGACUGCUCUUGGAAGUGCGCGGCUGGAGUGCAGGAGGGGCAGGCGGAAUUCCUGGUGUAGCGGUGAAAUGCGUAGAUAUCAGGAGGAACACCGGUGGCGAAGGCGGCCUGCUGGACUGCGACUGACGUUGAGGCCCGAAAGCGUGGGGAGCAAACAGGAUUAGAUACCCGAGUAGUC
This 461-nucleotide ribosomal RNA is filed under the name uncultured bacterium. Its description in RNAcentral is "partial 16S ribosomal RNA". It matches the Rfam family "Bacterial small subunit ribosomal RNA", at positions 338 to 795 of the family's 1533-position model. The record is from RNAcentral.